GCGGAAGAAGGCAACCGAGUGGAGGAGCAUGAGAGAGAAGAAAGCGAGGGAGGAGUGUUGGAGAAGGAGACGGUGGAAGAGCAAGUGGACUGGGGGGAAAGUGCCCUGGUGGAAGAGAUGAGGGGUAUGGUGGAGGAGCUGGCGGGGGGAGGGUGGUAUCUCUCCACUGCCGCCAUCACCAAAGAAGAGAAUGAAGAGGAGGGUGCGAUUGGCCGACAGUGAGAGGGAGGGGAUGGCCAAGAGAGUGAUGGGGGUGGGAGAAACCUCUGGGUUGCUGCUGGUUUCCCCAGGCCCUCAACUUCUGUUGGGUGGGGACACACCUAACAAGACUCAGGACUGGGUACAGGAGGAGGUGGGGAGUUUUAUGUUUGGGGACUCAGCCUCCCCGAUUUUUUUCCAAACCAGCUGCAGCACUGGGGAGGGGGAGGAGUGUGGGAGUAGACCCAGGGUGCAGGGCACCCCGGAGCCAAACACUAUUCCUGCAUCCUGGGUUGGUGAGAUGGAGGAAGAGGGGGGGAUGUCGGGAGUACGGAUGGUGUUCUCACCGGUAGAUAUGGAGCAGGGGAGCAUCGGGUGAGUCUCCUGUUUUUUUUUUUUUUUUCUGUCUGGGUUUAGAAUUUGAGUGUAUUACAUGUUUUAAUUUUAUUUUUUCAUGGGGUCUAAUUUUACUUUUGUUAGUUUAAAUGUAAGGGGUUUAAGGGAUUUUGUUAAGAGGAGGGCGGUUUUUAGUUAUUUGGAGGGUGUGGGGUUUGAUUUUUGUUUUUUACAGGAGGUUCACCUGAGGGAUGGAGGGGAUUGGGACAAGGGGGAGUCGGUUUGGGGUAUUGGGGGGGUGCACUCAUCGGGGGUAGGGAUUUUGUGUGGGCACAGGGAGGUAAAAGUGGAGGAUUCUUUUGUGGUAAUGCAGGGGAGGGUUAUAGGGGUGGAUGUCACAAUAAGGGAUUGUAAAUUUAGGUUAGUGGUGGUGUAUGGGCCACAGGUGGUGGCAGACAGGAGGGAGAUGGUGGACUGUCUGACGCCCCUGUGUGUCACAAAUAGGAAAUUAGUGAUAGGGGG
This is a long non-coding RNA of Oncorhynchus tshawytscha (Chinook salmon), 1056 nucleotides long. The record is from Ensembl. Lineage: Eukaryota; Metazoa; Chordata; Actinopteri; Salmoniformes; Salmonidae.